This 392-nucleotide ribosomal RNA is filed under the name uncultured bacterium. RNAcentral describes it as "partial 16S ribosomal RNA". It matches the Rfam family "Bacterial small subunit ribosomal RNA", at positions 523 to 918 of the family's 1533-position model. The record is from RNAcentral.
AUACGGAGGAUCCGAGCGUUAUCCGGAUUUAUUGGGUUUAAAGGGUGCGCAGGCGGCCAUUUAAGUCAGCGGUUAAAUCGUGGGGCUCAACCCCAUUCUGCCGUUGAUACUGGGUGGCUUGAUUGCGGUCGAGGUUGGCGGAAUUCGUUGCGUAGCGGUGAAAUGCAUAGAUAUGACGAAGAACACCGAUUGCGUAGGCAGCUGACCAGACCGCAAAUGACGCUCAUGCACGAAAGUGCGGGGAUCGAACAGGAUUAGAUACCCUGGUAGUCCACGCCGUAAACGAUGAAUACUUGUUUUCGGCGAUAUAAUGUCGGAGGCAAAGCGAAAGCGAUAAGUAUUCCACCUGGGGAGUACGCCGGCAACGGUGAAACUCAAAUGAAUUGACGGGG